UAAAUCUGUGACGUAAAAUAAAACAAUAUUUUCUAGAUCUGAUAGCAAUAUAUGUCGGAUCACACUCUCUAUUUUCUAAAACCAUCUGCAGACACUUCAAUUGCAGGAUAUAUGAUCACCUAUGAAAUCAAUUUGAGUUAAUUGGAAAUGAGCACUUUUUACUGAUGUAGGAAUCCUUACAUACUCUAUAUGGAGAUACAUUCAUAGGUGUAUGGUUGGCUAUAAUAUGGAAAGUUUAAAAAGUUCAAAUCCGCAAAGCAUAAAGUAUAAAUAUGGAAUCUGGAAGCACUAAAAAGCAUUGUAUUGAAUGUGAAUACCAUGUGGAGAGAAAAAAUACUAAACUGAUAAUUUUGCUCGUGGUCUACCAUUUGAUGAAUUUAUUUAUGGUCCAUUAUAUCAAGAACACAAGAUAAGAUCAUAAUGUUAAUAGGCCACCAGUGUUGAUUCAAAGGUAUAUGUUUGACUAUAAUCAGGAGAAUGCGAGAAAAAACGCAAAAAGAAAGAAAGAUAACAGUUAUUUGUUCUAAAAGCAUAU
Molecule: non-coding RNA, 535 nt
Organism: Hydra vulgaris (swiftwater hydra)
Lineage: Eukaryota; Metazoa; Cnidaria; Hydrozoa; Anthoathecata; Hydridae
Source: RefSeq, a predicted model, not a curated record